This 449-nucleotide ribosomal RNA is filed under the name uncultured bacterium. Its description in RNAcentral is "partial 16S ribosomal RNA". It matches the Rfam family "Bacterial small subunit ribosomal RNA", at positions 330 to 793 of the family's 1533-position model. The record is from RNAcentral.
ACCAGACUCCUACGGGAGGCAGCAGUGGGGGAUAUUGCACAAUGGGGGAAACCCUGAUGCAGCGACGCCGCGUGAGUGAAGACGGCCUUCGGGUUGUAAAGCUCUGUCAAUCGGGACGAGGAAGAUGACGGUACCGAUGAAGGAAGCUCCGGCUAACUACGUGCCAGCAGCCGCGGUAAUACGUAGGGAGCGAGCGUUGUCCGGAUUUACUGGGUGUAAAGGGUGCGCAGGCGGCUCUGCAAGUCAGGCGUGAAAGCUAGGGGCUCAACCCCUAAACUGCGCUUGAAACUGUGGAGCUUGAGUGAAGUAGAGGCAGGCGGAAUUCCCGGUGUAGCGGUGAAAUGCGUAGAGAUCGGGAGGAACACCAGUGGCGAAGGCGGCCUGCUGGGCUUUAACUGACGCUCAGGCACGAAAGCAUGGGUAGCAAACAGGAUUAGAUACCCCCGUAA